RNAcentral lists this transfer RNA (72 nucleotides) under Ictidomys tridecemlineatus (thirteen-lined ground squirrel). Its description in RNAcentral is "Spermophilus tridecemlineatus (thirteen-lined ground squirrel) tRNA". It matches the Rfam family "tRNA". Rfam says of the family: Transfer RNA (tRNA) molecules are approximately 80 nucleotides in length. Their secondary structure includes four short double-helical elements and three loops (D, anti-codon, and T loops). Lineage: Eukaryota; Metazoa; Chordata; Mammalia; Rodentia; Sciuridae. The record is from Rfam by way of RNAcentral.
UGGGUUGUAGCUCAGUGGUAGAGCACUUGCCUUGUGCGUGUGAGGCCCUGGGUUCAACCCUCAGCACCACAU